Molecule: ribosomal RNA, 614 nt
Filed under: uncultured bacterium
Lineage: Bacteria
Description: bacterial SSU rRNA
Rfam family: Bacterial small subunit ribosomal RNA
Source: RNAcentral
AGUCGAGCGAGGCCGGGUAGCAAUACCCGAGUCGAGCGGCGAACGGGUGAGUAACACGUGGAUUAUCUGCCCUGAGGUGGGGGAUAACCCGGGGAAACUCGGGCUAAUACCGCAUAUGACCGUGAGGUCAAAGGGGGGUCGCAAGAUCUCUCGCCUUUGGAGGAGUCCGCGUCCGAUUAGCUAGUUGGUAGGGUAAUGGCCUACCAAGGCGACGAUCGGUAGCCGGCCUGAGAGGGUGAUCGGCCACACUGGAACUGAGACACGGUCCAGACUCCUACGGGAGGCAGCAGUGGGGAAUUUUGCGCAAUGGGCUAACGCCUGACGCAGCAACGCCGCGUGGAGGAUGAAGGUCCUUGGAUUGUAAACUCCUGUCAGCAGGGAAAAAGCAACCUAACCUCAUACGUUAGGAAGUUGAUUGUACCUGCAGAGGAAGCCCCGGCUAACUCUGUGCCAGCAGCCGCGGUAAUACAGAGGGGGCAAGCGUUAUUCGGAAUUAUUGGGCGUAAAGGGCGCGUAGGCGGCUUGGCAAGUGGAUGGUGAAAUCCCUCGGCUUAACCGAGGAACUGCCAUCCAGACUGCUUUGCUUGAGGCCGGGAGAGGUGAGUGGAAUUCCC